GAAGCCGAAAGCAAGUGAGCUGGUGGCAGGGGACGGACGCGACGAUGGUGGUGGUGGCGACCGCGAGCCCCGGCGGGCCCGAGGCGCUGCAGGUGCGCGAGGUCGAGGACCUCCCGGCGCCGGGGGAGGGCGAGGUGCUUGUCGGGGUGGCCGCCGCCGGCGUCAAUCGCGGCGACACGGUCCAGUGGCAGGGCCGGUAGCCGCCGCCUCGCCCUACCCGGGGCUCGAGUGCUCCGGCACCAUCGUCGCUCUCGGGGCCGCGCUGGGCCGUCGGUACCAGGUGUGCGCGCUGCUUACCGGCCGCGGGUAUGUGGAGAAGGUGGAGGUUCCGACAGGGAAGCUGCUCCCGGUGACGGAGGGGGUGUCGCUGACUGACAGCCCGAGGUGGCCUGCACCGUCUGGUCCACCUUUUUCAUGCUAGCCACCUCUCCCUCGGUGAAUCCUUAUCCAUGGUGGAUCAAGUGGAAUCGGUACAUUCGCUACACAGAAUUCAAAGCACCUUGGAAAUGUACACAUGAGACAUUAUUCUUUAUCGAAUUUCCGACAUCAGAGACACGUAUGCUGUUAAUCAGGUGCUGAAGAAAAAAUCAAUCCUCUCCACUUGAAGGUAGGUGAUGCACACAGAUUUCUUCUUACCUUGCAAGCACCGUUGGAUGAAGAGAGUAGGCAUGAUCAUGGACAAACGCAUGCCGUCUUGCCUCGAUCUUGCAGGAGAGGAGGACAUUGUUUAUUUGCGUAGGGCUGUCGGGGGAUAAUUCGAUCGAGUAGGAGUUGUUACGUGGAAGAGGAGCUAGCAGCUGGGCGAUCGUUUGGCUAGGUGACGAGGAAGAAAUUGAUACGGCCGGCCGUUGUACGGGAGCACGGCCAGAGAUGGAGUUCGAUACGGUCUGCACCCAAAUCAGAAGGUUUGGCCACCCUUAACAAUAUCCUCAUCGGAUAUAACUUGGGGAAGGCGAAGGCGUACCCCCUACUAUAUAAGCUCCGCCACCCACGCCCCAAACAAAUCAUAACCAACCUUCCUCAAGUCGUUUGUUCCCCCGAGCAAUCGAGUUGUGUUCCCGGCGAUCGAUCGAUCCAUCUUGCUGAGCAUCAUGGUUUCCGCCGACGUGGCUCGCAACAUCGUCGGCAUCAUUGGCAAUGUCAUCUCCUUUGGGCUCUUCCUCUCCCCUGUGCCGACGUUCUGGCGUAUCUGCAAGGCCAAGGACGUGCAGGAGUUCAAGCCGGACCCCUACCUGGCGACGCUCAUGAACUGCCUGCUCUGGUUCUUCUACGGGCUCCCUAUCGUCCACCCCAACAGCACCCUCGUCCUCACCAUCAACGGCAUCGGCCUCGUCAUCGAGGGCGCCUACAUCAUCAUCUUCAUCAUCUACGCGGCCAAGAACACAAGGUGGAAGAUGCUCGGCGUGCUCGCCAUCCAGGCAGCGUUCAUGGCUGCCGUGGUGGCCGGUGUGCUCGUCGGCGCCCACACCCAUGAGAAGCGCUCCAUGAUCGUAGGCAUCCUCUGCGUCAUCUUCGGCUCCAUCAUGUACGCCUCCCCGCUCACCAUCAUGGGUAAAGUGAUCAGGACCAAGAGUGUGGAGUACAUGCCAUUCUUCCUGUCACUGGUAAACUUCCUCAACGGUCUCUGCUGGACGGGCUAUGCGCUAAUCAAGUUUGACAUCUACAUCACGAUCCCCAAUGCCCUCGGUACAAUCUUCGGCCUCAUCCAGCUGAUCCUUUACGGGUACUACUACAGAUCUACCCCCAAGAAGGGCAAGAAUGUCGAGCUGCCCACCGUCCUCACCAAAAACGCCGUUACCAGCGGCAACGUCUCCGUCACCAUAGAGAAAUAAGCUUUGCUUCCUUUUUAGCCCUAAAGAUUUUGAGUAGUUAAUACCGGAUGAUACUUCAACAGGUCUGAUGUUAAUUAGUUGUACUUUUUGUUAGCUAGUAGAGUCUGAGAUUGCCUUUAAUUUUGUGAACCAUUGUCGUCUGUCCGAGACUACAGUGCAAACUGCAAGUGUAUAUUAAUACCAAUGCAGCUGAGUUAUCCCAGAGAUAUAUUAUG
This 2047-nucleotide ribosomal RNA is filed under the name Triticum aestivum (bread wheat). RNAcentral describes it as "partial small subunit ribosomal RNA". Lineage: Eukaryota; Viridiplantae; Streptophyta; Magnoliopsida; Poales; Poaceae. The record is from RNAcentral.